CUGGAGGUCACCUCUUCUAACUGUCUUUGCUCACAUAUAGGUCUGCCUGUGAGGACAGGGCAGACAGAGUCCAACUAGUGGGCAGCAGAAGGGAGAAGUACCCAUCUCUUCCUUCAGCUACCUUUUUCCUCACUUCCUAUGUGAUUUGUAUUGGGAAGUCCUCACUCAGGUCUAACCUUCCAGUUACCAUGCUGUAAUGAAAACUGGCCAGAGUCAGAAGCAUAAAAUCAGAUUUUGGGUAAGUCCCUUUACCUCUCUGGGCCUUGAUUCUUCAUCUUUAAAAUGGGAUUGAGAAUGACAGUGAUGGCAAUAAUACCCAUCUCACAGGGCCUUUGGGAAGAUAAUAGCACAGUCUAGGCCUAGAGUAAAGCAGGUGCUGCAGGAUUAUUUUGUUACAGCCCCUCGGACCUCCAGCCGAAACCUUUUCAUCCUGGGUAAUAUAGGGGUUUGCUCACCUCAGCCAGUCUGGUCUGCCUUGCGCGCUAGACUGUGAACUCCUCUUGGCAGGACUUUGUUCAUUUUUUAUCACAGCCCCCUUCUCCUCCCCAGUGUCUAAUCCGUGCCUGGGCACGUAGGCUCAAUCUACAUUUAAUAAAUAAAGAAGUGAGGGCAUGAGUUGGACCCCAAGGCCCGAGAGGCACAGGGCCUGGCUCCCACCACUGACCCUCUGGGCACGACCCUUCGGCCUGAGAUCCAGGAGGCGGCGGCGGCGGCGGCGGCGAGGAAAGGAGAUGCUGCAGCUUUAAGAUUCCUCUCGGGCGUCCCGGUUGCCAAGGCGCGGUUGCCAAGGACCUGCGCGGAGCUGCGUCCGGACUCCGCGCGCGGUCCCGGGUUUCCUCUGCCGCAGCCACUGCCGCCGCCGCCGCCGCCGCCGCCGCCGCCGCCGCCGGGCCACGCCGGGCUCGGCUCCUCCGAACCGUCUGGCGGACUUGGCACCGGCCCCGGCUCUUCAGUGCCCCCGCGAGCUGUGGCAAUUGUUGUGAACAUGAUCUGGGUCACUCUGGCUACUCAGUGUCUAUCUCUGGGUCUGUUCCUUAUCUAG
This 1042-nucleotide long non-coding RNA is filed under the name Vulpes vulpes (red fox). RNAcentral's name for it is "lncRNA (ENSVVUG00000001487.1)". The record is from RNAcentral. Lineage: Eukaryota; Metazoa; Chordata; Mammalia; Carnivora; Canidae.